This 513-nucleotide ribosomal RNA is filed under the name uncultured Campylobacterota bacterium. RNAcentral describes it as "bacterial SSU rRNA". It matches the Rfam family "Bacterial small subunit ribosomal RNA", at positions 75 to 609 of the family's 1533-position model. The record is from RNAcentral. Lineage: Bacteria; Pseudomonadati; Campylobacterota.
CUAGCUUGCUAGGUGGAUUAGUGGCGCACGGGUGAGUAAUAUAUAGAUAACGUGCCUCUUAGUCUGGGAUAGCCAUUGGAAACGAUGAUUAAUACUAGAUACUCCUUCUAACUCUAAUGUUAGUCGGGAAAGUUUUUCGCUAAGAGAUCGGUCUAUAUCCCAUCAGCUAGUUGGUAGUGUAAGAGACUACCAAGGCAAUGACGGGUAGCGGGUUUGAGAGGAUGAUCCGCCACACUGGUACUGAGACACGGACCAGACUCCUACGGGAGGCAGCAGUGAGGAAUAUUGCACAAUGGAGGAAACUCUGAUGCAGCAACGCCGCGUGGAGGAUGACGCAUUUCGGUGUGUAAACUCCUUUUAUAUGUCAAGAAAAUGACGGUAGCAUAUGAAUAAGCACCGGCUAACUCCGUGCCAGCAGCCGCGGUAAUACGGAGGGUGCAAGCGUUAUUCGGAAUCACUGGGCGUAAAGGACGCGUAGGCGGGAUGCCAAGUCUGAUGUGAAAUCCUAUGGCU